Molecule: long non-coding RNA, 467 nt
Filed under: Mytilus galloprovincialis (Mediterranean mussel)
Lineage: Eukaryota; Metazoa; Mollusca; Bivalvia; Mytilida; Mytilidae
Source: RNAcentral
GGGUGCUUAACUUCUGUUUAAUGUAUUUGUUUCAGUAAACUUUUGAUUUAUUCUAAAUUUUGUAUUCUUAGUAAAAAUGUAAGUUUAGAACAGGUUUAAAAUUCUAUGAAAUAUCAAUAACAAAUAUCUUAAAAAACAAGAUUGACAUUCCAGGAAGACAAUAAUGAAUAUUUGGCACAACCUUCAUCUUUCCCUAUUAAUAACUUAUUAAAAUAUAGAAUUAUAUGUUGAUUGAUUGAUUUGUGUUUAACACCACUUUCAGCACUAUUUUGUCAUUUUAUGGCGGUCAGUUCUUAUUGAUCAUAGAGGCUAGAGUGCUUGGAUAGAACCACCAACCUAAGAGUAAUAACAUAGUAUGAUGAUCCAAUAUUUUCAAAUUUUUAAAACUAUGACUACCUAUAUGUAACUAACUAACAGACAUAAAAUACAUGUAUAUGAAUAAUUUGAUUUGAUACUCUAUAACAAAU